CUACGGGCCGCUGCAGUGAGGAAUAUUGGUCAAUGGAGGCAACUCUGAACCAGCCAUGCCGCGUGAAGGAUGACGGCCCUAUGGGUUGUAAACUUCUUUUGAAUAGGAAGAAACUUAUCUACGUGUAGAUAACUGACGGUACUAUUAGAAUAAGGAUCGGCUAACUCCGUGCCAGCAGCCGCGGUAAUACGGAGGAUCCAAGCGUUAUCCGGAUUCAUUGGGUUUAAAGGGUCCGUAGGCGGGUCUUUAAGUCAGGGGUGAAAGCCGACAGCUCAACUGUCGAACUGCCAUUGAUACUGGAGACCUUGAGUACAAAUGAAGUAGGCGGAAUGAGUCAUGUAGCGGUGAAAUGCAUAGAUAUGACUCAGAACACCGAUUGCGAAGGCAGCUUACUAACAUGUAACUGACGCUGAGGGACGAAAGCGUGGGGAGCGAACAGGAUUAGAUACCCGGGUAGUC
Molecule: ribosomal RNA, 459 nt
Filed under: uncultured bacterium
Lineage: Bacteria
Description: partial 16S ribosomal RNA
Rfam family: Bacterial small subunit ribosomal RNA
Source: RNAcentral